Molecule: transfer RNA, 72 nt
Filed under: Ovis aries (sheep)
Lineage: Eukaryota; Metazoa; Chordata; Mammalia; Artiodactyla; Bovidae
Rfam family: tRNA
About the family: Transfer RNA (tRNA) molecules are approximately 80 nucleotides in length. Their secondary structure includes four short double-helical elements and three loops (D, anti-codon, and T loops).
Source: Rfam by way of RNAcentral
UCCCUGGUAGCACAGCUGGUAAAGAAUCUAUCUGUGAAGCAGGAGACCCUGGUUCAAUUCCUGGUUUGGGAA